RNAcentral lists this microRNA (23 nucleotides) under Gallus gallus (chicken). Its description in RNAcentral is "gga-miR-1763". The record is from miRBase by way of RNAcentral. Lineage: Eukaryota; Metazoa; Chordata; Aves; Galliformes; Phasianidae.
GAGGGCGGGAGCGGAGCGCGGGA